RNAcentral lists this ribosomal RNA (253 nucleotides) under uncultured bacterium. RNAcentral's name for it is "partial 16S ribosomal RNA". It matches the Rfam family "Bacterial small subunit ribosomal RNA", at positions 524 to 776 of the family's 1533-position model. The record is from RNAcentral.
UACGUAGGGACCGAGCGUUGUCCGGAAUCAUUGGGCGUAAAGAGCGUGUAGGCGGCCUGGUAAGUCCGCUGUGAAAGUCCAGGGCUCAACCCUGGAAUGCCGGUGGAAACUGUCAGGCUCGAGUCCGGAAGAGGCGAGUGGAAUUCCUGGUGUAGCGGUGAAAUGCGCAGAUAUCAGGAGGAACACCAAUGGCGAAGGCAGCUCGCUGGGACGGUACUGACGCUGAGACGCGAAAGCGUGGGGAGCAAACAGG